AAUCGGGGCAGGGUGAGUCGACCCCUAAGGCGAGGCCGAAAGGCGUAGUCGAUGGGAAACAGGUUAAUAUUCCUGUACUUGGUGUUACUGCGAAGGGGGGACGGAGAAGGCUAUGUUAGCCGGGCGACGGUUGUCCCGGUUUAAGCAUGUAGGCGGAGGUUCCAGGUAAAUCCGGUACCUUUUUAACGCUGAGGUGUGAUGACGAGGCACUACGGUGCUGAAGUAACAAAUGCCCUGCUUCCAGGAAAAGCCUCUAAGCAUCAGGUAACAUCAAAUCGUACCCCAAACCGACACAGGUGGUCAGGUAGAGAAUACCAAGGCGCUUGAGAGAACUCGGGUGAAGGAACUAGGCAAAAUGGUGCCGUAACUUCGGGAGAAGGCACGCUGAUAUGUAGGUGAAGCCCCUGCGGGUGGAGCUGAAAUCAGUCGAAGAUACCAGCUGGCUGCAACUGUUUAUUAAAAACACAGCACUGUGCAAACACGAAAGUGGACGUAUACGGUGUGACGCCUGCCCGGUGCCGGAAGGUUAAUUGAUGGGGUUAGCGGCAACGCGAAGCUC
RNAcentral lists this ribosomal RNA (559 nucleotides) under Salmonella enterica. Its description in RNAcentral is "partial 23S ribosomal RNA". It matches the Rfam family "Bacterial large subunit ribosomal RNA", at positions 1367 to 1907 of the family's 2925-position model. The record is from RNAcentral. Lineage: Bacteria; Pseudomonadati; Pseudomonadota; Gammaproteobacteria; Enterobacterales; Enterobacteriaceae.